This 839-nucleotide ribosomal RNA is filed under the name uncultured bacterium. RNAcentral describes it as "bacterial SSU rRNA". It matches the Rfam family "Bacterial small subunit ribosomal RNA", at positions 25 to 859 of the family's 1533-position model. The record is from RNAcentral.
AUCAUUGAACGCUGGCGGCAUGCUUNACACAUGCAAGUCGAACGGCAGCACGGGAGUAAUCCUGGUGGCGAGUGGCGAACGGGUGAGUAAUAUAUCGGAACGUGCCCAGUCGUGGGGGGAUAACGUAGCGAAAGCUACGCUAAUACCGCAUACGAUCUAUGGAUGAAAGCGGGGGAUCGCAAGACCUCGCGCGAUUGGAGCGGCCGAUAUCAGAUUAGCUAGUUGGUGGGGUAAAGGCCCACCAAGGCGACGAUCUGUAGCUGGUCUGAGAGGACGACCAGCCACACUGGAACUGAGACACGGUCCAGACUCCUACGGGAGGCAGCAGUGGGGAAUUUUGGACAAUGGGCGCAAGCCUGAUCCAGCAAUGCCGCGUGCAGGACGAAGGCCUUCGGGUUGUAAACUGCUUUUGUACGGAAUGAAAAGGUCUGCCCUAAUACGGCGGGCUCAUGACGGUACCGUAAGAAUAAGCACCGGCUAACUACGUGCCAGCAGCCGCGGUAAUACGUAGGGUGCAAGCGUUAAUCGGAAUUACUGGGCGUAAAGCGUGCGCAGGCGGUUUUGUAAGACAGAUGUGAAAUCCCCGGGCUCAACCUGGGACCUGCAUUUGUGACUGCAAAGCUAGAGUACGGCAGAGGGGGAUGGAAUUCCGCGUGUAGCAGUGAAAUGCGUAGAUAUGCGGAGGAACACCGAUGGCGAAGGCAAUCCCCUGGGCCUGUACUGACGCUCAUGCACGAAAGCGUGGGGAGCAAACAGGAUUAGAUACCCUGGUAGUCCACGCCCUAAACGAUGUCAACUGGUUGUUGGGUCUUCACUGACUCAGUAACGAAGCUAACGCG